This 440-nucleotide ribosomal RNA is filed under the name uncultured bacterium. Its description in RNAcentral is "partial 16S ribosomal RNA". It matches the Rfam family "Bacterial small subunit ribosomal RNA", at positions 339 to 795 of the family's 1533-position model. The record is from RNAcentral.
CUACGGGAUGCAGCAGUGAGGAAUAUUGCACAAUGGGGGGAACCCUGAUGCAGCAACGCCGCGUGGAGGAUGACGCAUUUCGGUGUGUAAACUCCUUUUAUAUGUCAAGAAAAUGACGGUAGCAUAUGAAUAAGCACCGGCUAACUCCGUGCCAGCAGGCCGCGGUAAUACGGAGGGUGCAAGCGUUACGCGGAAUCACUGGGCGUAAAGGACGCGUAGGCGGGUUGGAAAGUCAGGUGUGAAAUCCUACAGCUUAACUGUAGAACUGCACUUGAAACUUCUAAUCUAGAGUAUGGGAGGGGGAGAUGGAAUUAGUGGUGUAGGGGUAAAAUCCGUAGAUAUUACUAGGAAUACCUAAAGCGAAGGCGAUCUCCUGGAACAUUACUGACGCUAAGGCGUGAAAGCGUGGGGAGCAAACAGGAUUAGAUACCCCCGUAGUC